Molecule: ribosomal RNA, 627 nt
Filed under: uncultured bacterium
Lineage: Bacteria
Description: bacterial SSU rRNA
Rfam family: Bacterial small subunit ribosomal RNA (bases 1-542)
Source: RNAcentral
CCUACGGGAGGCAGCAGUGGGGAAUUUUGGACAAUGGGCGCAAGCCUGAUCCAGCCAUGCCGCGUGUGGGAAGAAGGCCUUCGGGUUGUAAACCACUUUUGUCAGGGAAGAAACGGUCUGAACUAAUACUUUGGACUAAUGACGGUACCUGAAGAAUAAGCACCGGCUAACUACGUGCCAGCAGCCGCGGUAAUACGUAGGGUGCAAGCGUUAAUCGGAAUUACUGGGCGUAAAGCGUGCGCAGGCGGCUUUGCAAGACAGAUGUGAAAUCCCCGGGCUCAACCUGGGAACUGCAUUUGUGACUGCAUGGCUAGAGUACGGUAGAGGGGGAUGGAAUUCCGCGUGUAGCAGUGAAAUGCGUAGAUAUGCGGAGGAACACCGAUGGCGAAGGCAAUCCCCUGGACCUGUACUGACGCUCAUGCACGAAAGCGUGGGGAGCAAACAGGAUUAGAUACCCUGGUAGUCCACGCCCUAAACGAUGUCAACUGGUUGUUGGGAGGGUUUCUUCUCAGUAACGAAGCUAACGCGUGAAGUUGACCGCCUGGGGGAGGACGGUCCGGCGAGUUAGAACGUACGAAGGAAGUUAGACGGCGNGAGACGNGCGACGGACGACGACGAGGGAGGAGG